UUCUUAAAUGCUCUUUAAAACUAUCAUAAUAAAUGUUUUUUAUACUUCAACUCCUUUUCAGUUUUUUUGCUCUACCAUUGUUGUUAAGAAUUUUUAAAUCUAAUUGCAGGCUCAGUAGAAGAUCUGACACGCUGUGUUCAAGAAGAGUUGAAUAGGUCAAAGCAGUUGGAUGAUACGUUGAUCACCAGCCUUACGCCAACCAAACAUUGCGCGCCACAAGCAUCAUCAGAAUCCCAUGCUAUGCUGAUGGAGUCCGUAUUGAAUUAUCAGGUCCAGAUUCAAAAUCUGGAAACGCUCCUGAAUGAGGAACGGAAGAAGGUUAAAGAUCUGCAGCUUAAGCUGGAUAUUGUCGAACAGGUAUCGACGAAUAUAACAACGUAUCAGGAUGAUCGAUUAGUCAAUAUGACCGUUGAAUUGUCCACGUUUAAAGAAAAAGUUCCGUUCUUAGAACUAGAGUUGCUGGAGAGUCAAACGCAAGUCAAACAGUUACAAACCGAUUUGUUGGCAAGGAAGAGGUUAUGUUUUCAACUACAGCAAGAGACAGCGCUUUUGGUAGAGAGUCAUCAGAAGGAGCUGAAUAAAAUUCUAGAUGCCAAAGUUCAUUUUGAGCUUUUAUAUCAGAAAGAGAAAGCAAAGUGCGAGGAGCUACAAGCUCAAAUCAAGUCUUCAAAACCAGUACAACAAGACUCGAUGAAUGAACAACAUCUCAAGGAAAAACUGAAUGAAGAACAAGAGAGAUGUAUCAAGCUGGAAGUGGAGCUGGACCAGCAUAAACGGUAUCUAACAGUUCUGAAAAGCAUCAUGGAAAAGGAGGCAUCAAAAUCAAAUACAUUGGAAAAAGAUUUGGAUACUCUAAACAGCGUAAAACAAGCCCUGGAGCGGCAGGUUGUGGAGCUUGACUGCCUGAACAGAACUGAGAAGAAAAAGAAUCAAAGUCUAGAAGCUAAAAUCAAAGCUGUCGAAGAGGCAGAUAUCAGACGACAAAAGCGAAGACUUCAAGUCGAACAAACUCAUAAAUUAGCCCUCCAGCGAGCAUCAAAUGUUCAGAAAGAAUUGGUGGAGGAAUGUGACCGACUAAGAAAGGAGUUAAUUUUGCCAACGAACUGA
RNAcentral lists this long non-coding RNA (1107 nucleotides) under Bemisia tabaci. Its description in RNAcentral is "lncRNA ENSSSA3NGG004152". The record is from RNAcentral. Lineage: Eukaryota; Metazoa; Arthropoda; Insecta; Hemiptera; Aleyrodidae.